CCUACGGGAGGCAGCAGUGAGGAAUAUUGGUCCAUGGGCGCGAGCCUGAACCAGCCAAGUAGCGUGAAGGAUGACUGAACUACGGGUUGUAAACUUCUUUUAUCAAGGAAUAAAGUGAGGCACGUGUGCCUUUUUGUAUGUACUUUAUGAAUAAGGAUCGGCUAACUCCGUGCCAGCAGCCGCGGUAAUACGGAGGAGCCGAGCGUUAUCCGGAUUUAUUGGGUUUAAAGGGAGCGUAGAUGGGUGGUUAAGUCAGUUGUGAAAGUUUGCGGCGCAACCGUAAAAUUGCAAUUGAUACUGGCAGCCGUGAGUACAGUUGAGGUAGGCGGAAUGCGUGGUGUAGCGGUGAAAUGCUUAGAUAUCACGAAGAACUCCGAUUGCGAAGGCAGCUUACUAAACUGCCACUGACAUUGAUGCUCGAAAGUGUGGGUAUCAAACAGGAUUAGAUACCCGGGUAGUC
Molecule: ribosomal RNA, 460 nt
Filed under: uncultured bacterium
Lineage: Bacteria
Description: partial 16S ribosomal RNA
Rfam family: Bacterial small subunit ribosomal RNA
Source: RNAcentral